Molecule: ribosomal RNA, 459 nt
Filed under: uncultured bacterium
Lineage: Bacteria
Description: partial 16S ribosomal RNA
Rfam family: Bacterial small subunit ribosomal RNA
Source: RNAcentral
UCUACGGGAGGCUGCAGUGAGGAAUAUUGGUCAAUGGACGAGAGUCUGAACCAGCCAAGUAGCGUGAAGGAUGACUGCCCUAUGGGUUGUAAACUUCUUUUAUAUGGGAAUAAAAUGUUCCACGUGUUGGAUUUUGUAUGUACCAUAUGAAUAAGGAUCGGCUAACUCCGGUCCAGCAGCCGCGGUAAUACGGAGGAUUCGAGCGUUAUCCGGAUUGAUUGGGUUUAAAGGGUGCGUAGGCGGAAUGCCAAGUCAGCGUUAAAAUCGCGGGGCUCAACCUCGCUCUGCCUUUGAGACUGGCGUUCUUGAGUGGGCGAGAGGUAUGCGGAAUGCGUGGUGUAGCGGUGAAAUGCAUAGAUAUCACGCAGAACUCCGAUUGCGAAGGCAGCAUACCGGAGCCCAACUGACGCUGAGGCACGAAAGCGUGGGUAUCGAACAGGAUUAGAUACCCCUGUAGUC